UGUAGUCAUAUGCUUGUCUCAAAGAUUAAGCCAUGCAUGUCUAAGUAUAAGCAACUUUGUACUGUGAAACUGCGAAUGGCUCAUUAAAUCAGUUAUAGUUUAUUUGAUGGUUUUUGCUACAUGGAUAACUGUGGUAAUUCUAGAGCUAAUACAUGCAUUCAAGCCCCGACUUCUGGAAGGGGUGUAUUUAUUAGAUAAAAAUCAACUUUGUUGGUGAAUCAUAAUAACUUCUCGGACCGCAUGGCCUUGUGCUGGCGGUGCUUCAUUCAAAUAUCUGCCCUAUCAACUGUCGAUGGUAGGAUAGAGGCCUACCAUGGUUGCAACGGGUAACGGGGAAUAAGGGUUCGAUUCCGGAGAGGGAGCCUGAGAAACGGCUACCACAUCCAAGGAAGGCAGCAGGCGCGCAAAUUACCCAAUCCCGACACGGGGAGGUAGUGACAAUAUGUAACAAUAUACGGCCUUAUACGUCGUAUAAUUGGAAUGAGUACAAUUUAAAUCCCUUAACGAGGAACAAUUGGAGGGCAAGUCUGGUGCCAGCAGCCGCGGUAAUUCCAGCUCCAAUAGCGUAUAUUAAAGUUGUUGCAGUUAAAAAGCUCGUAGUUGGACCUUGGACCUGGACAGGCGGUCCGCCUCACGGCGUGUACUGUCUUGCUGGGUCUUUCCUCUUGGUGAUCUGUUGUUUCGGCAGCAGGGAACCAGGACUUUUACUUUGAAAAAAUUAGAGUGUUCAAAGCAGGCUCGACGCCGGAAUAUAUUAGCAUGGAAUAAUAAAAUAGGACGUGCGGUUCUAUUUUGUUGGUUUUGGAAUCGCCGUAAUGAUUAUAGGGACAGUCGGGGGCAUUAGUACUCACAUGCUAGAGGUGAAAUUCUUGGAUUUUGUGAAGACUAAACUUUCUGCGAAAGCA
Molecule: ribosomal RNA, 905 nt
Filed under: uncultured fungus
Lineage: Eukaryota; Fungi
Description: SSU rRNA
Rfam family: Eukaryotic small subunit ribosomal RNA
Source: RNAcentral